RNAcentral lists this ribosomal RNA (482 nucleotides) under uncultured bacterium. Its description in RNAcentral is "bacterial SSU rRNA". It matches the Rfam family "Bacterial small subunit ribosomal RNA", at positions 29 to 507 of the family's 1533-position model. The record is from RNAcentral.
AUUGAACGCUGGCGGCAGGCCUAACACAUGCAAGUCGAGCGAGAAAGCACUUCGGUGUGAGUAGAGCGGCGGACGGGUGAGUAACGCGUAGGAAUCUACCUGGUAGUGGGGGACAACUCGGGGAAACUCGAGCUAAUACCGCAUACGCCCUUCGGGGGAAAGCCGGGGGAUCUUCGGACCUCGCGCUAUUGGAUGAGCCUGCGUCGGAUUAGCUUGUUGGUGGGGUAAAGGCCCACCAAGGCGACGAUCCGUAGCUGGUCUGAGAGGAUGAUCAGCCACACUGGGACUGAGACACGGCCCAGACUCCUACGGGAGGCAGCAGUGGGGAAUAUUGCGCAAUGGGGGCAACCCUGACGCAGCCAUGCCGCGUGUGUGAAGAAGGCCCUAGGGUUGUAAAGCACUUUCAAUAGGGAGAAAAGGCCCACGGAUAAUACCCGUGGGAGCUGAUGUUACCUAUAGAAGAAGCACCGGCUAACUCCGUG